RNAcentral lists this ribosomal RNA (560 nucleotides) under Threskiornis aethiopicus (Sacred ibis). Its description in RNAcentral is "partial 16S ribosomal RNA". It matches the Rfam family "Bacterial large subunit ribosomal RNA", at positions 1817 to 2597 of the family's 2925-position model. Lineage: Eukaryota; Metazoa; Chordata; Aves; Pelecaniformes; Threskiornithidae. The record is from RNAcentral.
AGCCUUCAGCUCGUCCAAGUAUUGAAGGUGAUGCCUGCCCAGUGACAUCGUUUAACGGCCGCGGUAUCCUAACCGUGCGAAGGUAGCGCAAUCAAUUGUCUCAUAAAUCGAGACUUGUAUGAAUGGCUAAACGAGGUCCUAACUGUCUCUUACAGACAAUCAGUGAAAUUGAUCUUCCUGUGCAAAAGCAGGGAUAUAUUCAUAAGACGAGAAGACCCUGUGGAACUUAAAAAUCAGCGGCCACCGCACACAACACAAAGCCUACCAGGCCCACUACCACCAAAGCAUUGGCUCGUAUUUUUUGGUUGGGGCGACCUUGGAGGAAAAUAGAUCCUCCAAAAACAAGACCACAUAUCUUAACCAAGAGCAACCCCUCAACGUACUAAUAGUAACCAGACCCAAUACAAUUGACCAAUGGACCAAGCUACCCCAGGGAUAACAGCGCAAUCUCCUUCAAGAGCCCGUAUCGACAAGGAGGUUUACGACCUCGAUGUUGGAUCAGGACACCCUAAUGGUGCAGCCGCUAUUAAGGGUUCGUUUGUUCAACGAUUAAUAGUCCU